GGAGGGAAAUGAUCAACUGGAGGAUCAUACUUUGUAGGGCCAAACGAACCAGGCCAGGUGAUGGUAGAAAUGGCAGAAGUGGUACCCUGCCCCUUUCUUCCCACGCCCUCUACCCCUUGGUGCAACCAUAGAUUGUAAUGGGGAAGCGAAUGGAGGGCUGGUUGUGGUUGAGAAGAAGCGAGAAGGUACCUCCUCUUUGCAGAGGAAGGUGAUGUUUGGGAGACAGGGGCUAAACUUUAGCCCUGUCACAUCGGAUGUUCAGAUGCUAAUUAGGAGGACUAAACGUCAGCUAAUUACAAAACUAAUAGCAGAACCCCUAGGCUAAAU
This 327-nucleotide long non-coding RNA is filed under the name Setaria viridis. Its description in RNAcentral is "long non-coding RNA (SVIR_LNC000731)". Lineage: Eukaryota; Viridiplantae; Streptophyta; Magnoliopsida; Poales; Poaceae. The record is from RNAcentral.